GUGCCAGCCGCCGCGGUAAUACCGGCAGCCCAAGUGAUGGCCGCUGUUAUUGGGCCUAAAGCGUCCGUAGCUGGCCGCACAAGUCCAUCGGGAAAUCCACUCGCUCAACGAGUGGUCGUCCGGUGGAAACUCCACACCUUGGGACCGGAAGGCUCGAAGGGUACGGCCGGGGUAGGAGUGAAAUCCUGUAAUCCCGUCCGGACCACCGAUGGCGAAAGCACUUCGAGAAAACGGAUCCGACAGUGAGGGACGAAAGCUAAGAUCGCGAACCGGAUUAGAAACCCCGGUAGUCC
RNAcentral lists this ribosomal RNA (293 nucleotides) under uncultured bacterium. Its description in RNAcentral is "partial 16S ribosomal RNA". It matches the Rfam family "Archaeal small subunit ribosomal RNA", at positions 455 to 747 of the family's 1478-position model. The record is from RNAcentral.